This is a non-coding RNA of Drosophila erecta, 79 nucleotides long. Lineage: Eukaryota; Metazoa; Arthropoda; Insecta; Diptera; Drosophilidae. The record is from Rfam.
AUUUCGUGAUGAAUGACUUUUAUACCAUCUUUCGACUGAAAAACACUUUGAUGUAUACAAGUUUUCACUGAAUUUUAAA